GACGAACGCUGGCGGCGUGCUUAACACAUGCAAGUCGAACGGAAAGGCCCUGCUUUUGUGGGGUGCUCGAGUGGCGAACGGGUGAGUAACACGUGAGUAACCUGCCCUUGACUUUGGGAUAACUUCAGGAAACUGGGGCGAAUACCGGAUAGGAGCUCCUGCUGCAUGGUGGGGGUUGGAAAGUUUCGGCGGUUGGGGUUGGACUCGCGGCUUAUCAGCAUGUCGGUGGGGUAGUGGCUUACCAAGGCUUUGACGGGUAGACGGCCUGAGAGGGUGACCGGCGCCCUGGGGCCUGCGGUACGGCCCAGACGCCUACGGGCGGCAGCGGUGGGGAAUAUUGCAGAGUGGGCGGAAGCCUGAUGCAGCAACGCUGCGUGCGGGAUGCCGGGCUGCGGGUUGUAAACCGAUUUCGCAUGUGCCGAAGAGUUAGUGACGGUAAUGGGUCAAGAAGCACCGGCUAACUACGUG
RNAcentral lists this ribosomal RNA (468 nucleotides) under uncultured bacterium. RNAcentral's name for it is "partial 16S ribosomal RNA". It matches the Rfam family "Bacterial small subunit ribosomal RNA", at positions 28 to 507 of the family's 1533-position model. The record is from RNAcentral.